RNAcentral lists this ribosomal RNA (1704 nucleotides) under Triticum aestivum (bread wheat). RNAcentral's name for it is "partial small subunit ribosomal RNA". The record is from RNAcentral. Lineage: Eukaryota; Viridiplantae; Streptophyta; Magnoliopsida; Poales; Poaceae.
AUGGCCGCACGGAGCAGAGGCGGCGCUAAUGGGGAGGACGGCGAGCCGGUUGCACGUUGGCGAGCGGAGGAGGCUGUCGCCGGGAACCGUAUGGCCCUCCAGGCUCUCCGGGAGCUCGUGAUUUAUCCCUUCCUCUACGCUCGCCAGUCCCGCCUGCUCGGGCUUAAGUGGCCCAGAGGAUUGCUGCUCUACGGCCCCCCUGGGACAGGAAAGACAAGCCUGGUUCAAGCCAUCGUUCGAGAAUGCAGUGCCCACCUGACAAUGAUCAAUACGUAUUCUGUGCAUAAAGCUCAUGCUGGAGAGGGUGAGAAGUUCCUGCGUGAAGCUUUCUCUGAAGCGUACUCUCAGGCGUCACAGGGCAGACCGGCCAUUAUUUUCAUCGAUGAACUGGAUGCUAUAUGUCCACGCCGUAACAGUAGGAGAGAGCAAGAAUCCCGCAUUGUUGGUCAGCUGCUAACUCUGAUGGAUGGAAAUAAGAAAUCGUCGAAGAAGCUUCCUCACGUAGUUGUUGUCGCGUCAACUAACAGGGUGGAUGCCAUCGAUCCAGCAUUGAGAAGGCCAGGACGUUUUGACUCAGAGAUAGAGGUCACUGUUCCUACGGUAGAAGAAAGGCUGCAGAUUCUUAAGCUUUAUUCCAAAAAUCUGCAUCUUGAUGAAAAUGUUGAUCUUCAAAUUAUCGCUGGAUGGUGCAAUGGUUAUGUUGGUGCUGAUCUAGAAGCUCUGUGUCGAGAAGCUGCCAGACUUGCUUAUCGGAGAUUGUCAAACUCAUCCGAGAAUGGGAAGGUGCUCACACUACUCAUGGAAGAUUGGGAGUCUGCGAAAUCUCAGAUCAAAGCAAGCAUGAUAAGAGGGGUAACUAAAGAAGCUCCAACUGUUUCAUGGGAUGAUAUAGGAGGUUUGAAAGAUCUAAAGAAAAAGCUUCAGCAAGCUGUUGAGUGGCCCAUCAAGCAUGCCACUGCCUUUGCAAGACUGGGGAUAUCACCAGUUCGUGGUGUGCUUUUGCAUGGUCCUCCAGGGUGCUCCAAGACUACCCUUGCCAAGGCUGCAGCACAUGCUGCCCAAGCUUCUUUCUUUUCUUUGAGUGGUGCAGAACUAUACUCGAAAUAUGUUGGAGAAGGUGAAGCUUUGUUGCGAAGAACAUUUCAGAGGGCACGUCUGUCUUCUCCAAGCAUCAUAUUCUUUGAUGAGGCUGAUGCAAUCGCCCCUAAAAGAACUGGUCCUAGUGGGGACAGUGGCAAUGCCACAGUAGGAGAAAGACUCCUAUCAACUUUGUUGACUGAAAUGGAUGGUUUAGAACUGGCUACGGGGAUUAUUGUUUUGGCUGCUACUAAUCGUCCCAAGGCGAUCGAUGCGGCUCUUCUCCGUCCUGGGCGUUUUGAUAUGGUGUUGUACGUUCCACCGCCAGAUGCGCAAGGCAGGCAUGAGAUACUACGCAUCCAUACACGGAAGAUGAAGUUGGGAGAGGAUGUGGACCUUGGGGAGAUAGCGGAGCGCACCGAGCUGUUCACCGGUGCUGAUCUCGAAGGCCUGUGCAGGGAAGCAGGAAUGGCGGCACUGAGGGAAGACCUGUCAGCCAGUUCAAUACACAAGGCUCACUUUGAGGCUGCAAUAAGGUCGCUAAGGCCAUCGCUGACGAAAGCAGAAGUUGAUGAGUACGCAGCUGCUGCCAUCCACGGCCCAUCAGCAGGAAACAUUAGAAUAUGA